GACGAACGCUGGCGGCGUGCUUAACACAUGCAAGUCGAACGGGUCUGCCCUGUUUUUUGCGGGGUGGGUCAGUGGCGAACGGGUGAGUAACACGUGAGUAACCUGCCCCUCACUUCUGGAUAACCGCUUGAAAGGGUGGCUAAUACGGGGUGUUCUGGCUGUGCCGCAUGGUGUGGCUGGGAAAGAUCCACUUUUGUGGUGUUUUGGUGGGGGAUGGGCUCGCGGCCUAUCAGCUUGUUGGUGGGGUGAUGGCCUGCCAAGGCUUUGACGGGUAGCCGGCCUGAGAGGGUGGGCGGUCACACUGGGACUGAGAUACGGCCCAGACUCCUGCGGGAGGCAGCAGUGGGGGGUAUUGCACAAUGGGCGGAAGCCUGAUGCAGCGACGUCGCGUGAGGGAUGGAGGCCUUCGGGUUGUGAACCUCUUUCGCCGGUGAAGAAGGUCCUGCUCUUUGUGGUGGGGUUGACGGUAGCCGGGUUAUGAAGCGCCGGCUAACUACGUG
RNAcentral lists this ribosomal RNA (500 nucleotides) under uncultured bacterium. RNAcentral describes it as "partial 16S ribosomal RNA". It matches the Rfam family "Bacterial small subunit ribosomal RNA", at positions 28 to 507 of the family's 1533-position model. The record is from RNAcentral.